GGUGAGUAACACGUGAGCAAUCUGCCCCUGACUCUGGGAUAAGCGCUGGAAACGGCGUCUAAUACUGGAUACGAGCUGCGAAGGCAUCUUCAGCAGCUGGAAAGAACUUCGGUCAGGGAUGAGCUCGCGGCCUAUCAGCUAGUUGGUGAGGUAAUGGCUCACCAAGGCGUCGACGGGUAGCCGGCCUGAGAGGGUGACCGGCCACACUGGGACUGAGACACGGCCCAGACUCCUACGGGAGGCAGCAGUGGGGAAUAUUGCACAAUGGGCGAAAGCCUGAUGCAGCAACGCCGCGUGAGGGACGACGGCCUUCGGGUUGUAAACCUCUUUUAGCAGGGAAGAAGCGAAAGUGACGGUACCUGCAGAAAAAGCGCCGGCUAACUACGUGCCAGCAGCCGCGGUAAUACGUAGGGCGCAAGCGUUAUCCGGAAUUAUUGGGCGUAAAGAGCUCGUAGGCGGUCUGUCGCGUCUGCUGUGAAAACCCGAGGCUCAACCUCGGGCCUGCAGUGGGUACGGGCAGACUAGAGUGCGGUAGGGGAGAUUGGAAUUCCUGGUGUAGCGGUGGAAUGCGCAGAUAUCAGGAGGAACACCGAUGGCGAAGGCAGAUCUCUGGGCCGUAACUGA
Molecule: ribosomal RNA, 624 nt
Filed under: Microbacterium saccharophilum
Lineage: Bacteria; Bacillati; Actinomycetota; Actinomycetes; Micrococcales; Microbacteriaceae
Description: bacterial SSU rRNA
Rfam family: Bacterial small subunit ribosomal RNA
Source: RNAcentral